Molecule: long non-coding RNA, 819 nt
Organism: Acyrthosiphon pisum (pea aphid)
Lineage: Eukaryota; Metazoa; Arthropoda; Insecta; Hemiptera; Aphididae
Exons: 3
Source: RefSeq, a predicted model, not a curated record
AAAUAAUAAUAUCAUUAAUAGUUCUAAUUUUGUACCGAAGUGUAUGUUAUAUUAUGAGAAGCAAAAAAUCUUGUAUAAUUACAGCACAUUGAAGACGGUGAUUAUCAAACAAAACAAUACGCUCCAUGUCAUAAUAAUAUAAAAAUGAAGAAUAUCAUAUUGUAUGUAACAAUAUUAUGUUUAGUAAGCUUGACCGUGGCAAGGUUAUCAACGAACUAUGCGGGAACAAAAAUUUAUGGACGAAGUUAAACUCAUACUUAAAGAAUUGAAAAUAAUAACAAAAAAAAAUUGAGAACUAUGAACGUAACAUAGAUAAUUCUAACAUCACCACGCAUAAUUGUGUAAAUGCAAUGGCUGCUAUAAAGACAGGCUAUGUCUUUAUAUAUAGCACUGCAAAAAAGUUUUUCAACAAAGGGGCUGCAUCGCCUAACAAUAUAGGCGGUAGUUUAAACGCAUCUCAAAUACAUACAACCUAUAACAUAAAAAUACUUAAUAACUAUAAUAAUCAGAAGAACAGAAAUCUACUGCCUUUAACGAAAAAAGGCUCCCACGAAACGUGGCAUAGUUUUGUUAGUGAUUCGUCGCUACCACCCGCCAGCGGGCCCAGCCACAUAACUUCGGUUUCGCCGGACCAGGAACCCUAAAGGUCGGGCAAUAAACAAUUUUUUAUAACAAUCACAAGAGCAGCGAGCUAGCUAUACUGAACUGUAGGCCCUAUAGCUAGCUCGUUGCUUUGUAUAAAUUGUAUUCUUAAAAAAAUAAUAUAUUAAUAUGUAUGAUGUUGUAUAAAUUCAAAAUUGUAUUCAUAAAAAAAUAAUA